AUACUUACCUCGCAGGGGAGAUACCAUGAUCAGGAAGCUGGUUUUCCCAGGGCAAAGCUUAUUCAUUGCCCUCCGGAUGUGCUCAUCCCUGCUAAUUCCCCAAAUGUGGGAAACUGGACUGCAUAAUUUGUGGUAGUGGGGAACUGCGCUCAUGCUCAAA
This is a small nuclear RNA of Echinops telfairi (small Madagascar hedgehog), 160 nucleotides long. RefSeq annotates it as U1 spliceosomal RNA. NCBI's taxonomy places the organism in Eukaryota, Metazoa, Chordata, Mammalia, Afrosoricida, Tenrecidae. The record is from RefSeq and is a predicted model, not a curated record. The transcript has a single exon.